This 245-nucleotide long non-coding RNA is filed under the name Vigna radiata. Its description in RNAcentral is "long non-coding RNA (VRAD_LNC006408)". The record is from RNAcentral. Lineage: Eukaryota; Viridiplantae; Streptophyta; Magnoliopsida; Fabales; Fabaceae.
GAGUGUGUUCACAAACAUCGCCACCAUUUCCUUAUCGUACAAAGGCGGCUUAACCUGCGCAGCUAACUCUCUCCAUUGUUGAGCAUACUCCUUGAAAGUUUCGUUGUCUUUCUUUGCCAUGUUUUGUAGUUGCAACCUGUCGGGUGCGACAUUCAUGUUGUACUUAUACUGCUUCGCGAAGGCAUCAGCCAGGUCCACCCAACAACGUAUGCGAGAUGGCUCUAAGUGGGUAUACCAGUUCAAUG